GAUGAACGCUAGCGGCAGGCCUAACACAUGCAAGUCGAGGGGCAGCACAGAAACAGCAAUGUUUUGGUGGCGACCGGCGGACGGGUGCGUAACGCGUAUGCAACCUACCUUUAACAGGGGGAUAACGGAGAGAAAUUUCCACUAAUACCCCAUAACAUCGAUCAAGGCAUCUUGAUUGGUUGAAAACUCCGGUGGUUAAAGAUGGGCAUGCGUUGUAUUAGGUAGUUGGUGAGGUAAUAGCUCACCAAGCCUACGAUACAUAGGGGGACUGAGAGGUUAGCCCCCCACACUGGUACUGAGACACGGACCGGACUCCUACGGGAGGCAGCAGUGAGGAAUAUUGGUCAAUGGGGGCAACCCUGAACCAGCCAUGCCGCGUGCAGGAAGACGGCUCUAUGAGUUGUAAACUGCUUUUAAACAGGGAUAAAGCACAGUAUGUAUACUGUGUUGAAGGUACUGUAAGAAUAAGGAUCGGCUAACUCCGUGCCAGCAGCCGCCGUAA
Molecule: ribosomal RNA, 502 nt
Filed under: uncultured bacterium
Lineage: Bacteria
Description: partial 16S ribosomal RNA
Rfam family: Bacterial small subunit ribosomal RNA
Source: RNAcentral